This is a long non-coding RNA of Halichondria panicea, 733 nucleotides long. RefSeq lists it as uncharacterized. The transcript is spliced from 4 exons. The record is from RefSeq and is a predicted model, not a curated record. NCBI's taxonomy places the organism in Eukaryota, Metazoa, Porifera, Demospongiae, Suberitida, Halichondriidae.
AUUAUAUAGAAUUUACAGGCCCCACCCAUAAUUAUUAAUUGAGGUGUGCGUUUUUUAGGAGACACAUAAGGUGUGAUUCACACCUCUGUGCACGUGUAUUAAUACUUGACUGGUAGCUAGCUAGCUAGCUAUUCAUCCCUGGGUUCUCAAGUAUCCAGUAACAUCCCUUUUAUCGACAACAGCUUUAGUAAACAAGUUGCUAAUCAACUUCCUAGAGAAUGGGACAUUGAUAUUGAUGGGAUCGGGAAAGAUAAGAGACCGAGUCAAGCUCAAGAAACUUCAAUAGAGCUCAUCACCAGACAAAAACUGACAUAUUUUGAAAGAAGGAAGACAGCACAGCCCUCGGUCUCAGAUCUUAAAUAAAUGUUCCUUCUUUGAAACUUCACGAAGUGGCCUAUUCAUGAACCGAGUUCAAGAGAAUCGUCAGUAUUGAAAAAAGAUGUGAGUGUCCAAUCGAUCAUUAAUGGAGAACUGGGACUCAUGGAUUAUUGCAUAUUCUAAGUUGGAGAUGGCGACAAGAAUUCAGACGAUCUUUGUGCCAGACCAGUACAGACUGUAUUUUCUGUGUGAUGUUGAACAAGAUCCAACGUGCGAGCUAAGUGUAUUCUUUGGACUCAACGAACAAAAUUGAACCCUUUGGCACAUGUAUAAUUAUAAUCUCAUUUUAGUGCUGCUAUGAUGUUUUGUUUCUUUGCUGCUAUACUUUUGUGGAUGUGUUUUAAGCUGUGAUCAA